This 72-nucleotide transfer RNA is filed under the name Camelus bactrianus (Bactrian camel). It matches the Rfam family "tRNA". Rfam says of the family: Transfer RNA (tRNA) molecules are approximately 80 nucleotides in length. Their secondary structure includes four short double-helical elements and three loops (D, anti-codon, and T loops). Further hydrogen bonds mediate the characteristic L-shaped molecular structure. tRNAs have two regions of fundamental functional importance: the anti-codon, which is responsible for specific mRNA codon recognition, and the 3' end, to which the tRNAs corresponding amino acid is attached (by aminoacyl-tRNA synthetases). tRNAs cope with the degeneracy of the genetic code in two manners: having more than one tRNA (with a specific anti-codon) for a particular amino acid; and 'wobble' base-pairing, i.e. permitting non-standard base-pairing at the 3rd anti-codon position. RNAcentral also lists the same sequence under 2 other names. The record is from Rfam by way of RNAcentral. Lineage: Eukaryota; Metazoa; Chordata; Mammalia; Artiodactyla; Camelidae.
GAAGGUACAGCUCAGUGAGAGAGUUUGUGCUUAGUAUGCACGAGGUCCUGGGUUCAAUCCCCAGUGCCUCCA